GUGCUCCCUUUGGAAGCACAUAUACUAAAAUUGGAACAAUACAGAGAACAUUAGCAUGGCCCUGCAUGAGAAUGACACGCAAAUUCAUGAAGCGUUCUGUAGUUUU
Molecule: small nuclear RNA, 106 nt
Organism: Artibeus jamaicensis (Jamaican fruit-eating bat)
Lineage: Eukaryota; Metazoa; Chordata; Mammalia; Chiroptera; Phyllostomidae
Source: RefSeq, a predicted model, not a curated record